AUGUCACUGCCUUGCACAUGUUCUACUCUUCUAUCUAACUCAUCAGGUUUCAGCACUGCAAUGCCUGACUCCUGUUCUGCUCUUCUAGCUUCCUUACUAGGUUGCAGCAUUACAACGUCGCUGCCUGGCUCCUGUACUACUCUUCUAGCUUCCUUACUAGGUUCCUCAUCAUCUUUCAGCAUUACGGUGUCGCUGGAUGGCUCCUGUGUUGAUUGUUGGAUGCAUCCGGACACUGGGUUAAUGACAUCUCCAGCCAUUUUUCCUUCAUUCUUUUCCACAUCAACUGCUUGGCGAUUCCUUUUCAUGAACUUCCUCUUGUUCCAUUUCUUCUUGAAACCGCCUUUCUUCACCUCAAGUGGUUUUGGGAUUUCAAUUGGCUUUUUCGCGGUCUCCUUAACUUGCCUUUUGCCAGGAACUACAAUAUGCUUUGUGGCACCACUUCCGCGACCCUCUAGUUGA
Molecule: ribosomal RNA, 459 nt
Filed under: Triticum aestivum (bread wheat)
Lineage: Eukaryota; Viridiplantae; Streptophyta; Magnoliopsida; Poales; Poaceae
Description: partial small subunit ribosomal RNA
Source: RNAcentral